RNAcentral lists this ribosomal RNA (246 nucleotides) under uncultured bacterium. Its description in RNAcentral is "partial 16S ribosomal RNA". It matches the Rfam family "Bacterial small subunit ribosomal RNA", at positions 527 to 772 of the family's 1533-position model. The record is from RNAcentral.
GUAGGGGGCGAGCGUUAUCCGGAUUUACUGGGUGUAAAGGGCGUGUAGGCGGGACUGCAAGUCAGAUGUGAAAUUCCAGGGCUCCACCCUGGAACUGCAUUUGAAACUGUAGUUCUUGAGUGAUGGAGAGGCAGGCGGAAUUCCGUGUGUAGCGGUGAAAUGCGUAGAUAUACGGAGGAACACCAGUGGCGAAGGCGGCCUGCUGGACAUUAACUGACGCUGAGGCGCGAAAGCGUGGGGAGCAAA